AUCGGGCGUAGAUGGUGCGGCCGGAGACGAGUCUUGCGGCGGGGGCGAGGGAUGGGGGGAUGCGCACCACGGCUUGGCAUUGAGAGGCUCUGCAAGCAACCGGUGAUUAUGAGGCGAGGCGGUGGAGCUGGGCAGUGGCGCCGGAGGUAGGCGGCAGUAGGCGGUUCUGCUUGGACGACGAGAUAGAUGCGGCGGAGAACGGCAGCCGGCAUCGAGAUCGGCCGGGGCAAGCUGCUGGCGAGGUGCAGUGGUGUGGUCACGGCCGUCCGCGUCGAGCUUCGACCGCCGCGGGGGCUGAGGGGAGUAGUGGUGCCGGAGGAGAGCAGCAGGGGAGGGGCGGCGCCAGCUAGGAGGCGGAGAACGGCGGCCGGCAUCGAGGUCGGCCGGGACAAGUUGUUGGCGAUGUGCAGCUGGUGUGGUCGCGGACGUCCGCGUCGAGCAUCGCAGGGCGGUGCGGCACGCGGGAAGUGAGGCGGUGGUGCAGGCGCGCGGGUGAGGAAGGCCUGCCCCAGUCGCCGAGGUGCCAUGGGCCCCACCGUCCCGGAAUCCCCCCUCGAGGUCGAGCAGUCAGAGUCCGAGGGCCAGGGGCGGGACGACGACCGCGAGCGCUUCCCCCGCGCAGCCGCCGCCGCUUCCGCUAAUCGCUGCAACCUGCUUCUCUGUUGUUGCCAGUUUGUGGUCGUGUUCUUCUUCACUCUACAGGUACAGGGUGCUUUCGAUUGAAUUGAACAUUGGUUCUGUGUGAGUUAUUGUUUUCGGCCGCUCUGUGAUUACUGUGUUAAGAUUUAAUUUGGCUAUGCAUUGUUGACUGAUUGGUUUUUGUAUGGUACAUAUGCAACUGAUUGAUGCCAUGGCCGAUGGAUGCUCCUCUUGUUGAAUACAUGGGCUGCGUCCCCCUCUAAUUAAACUUCCUCAUCUCUAUUUGGAAGAUAUCCAGUGAUGUUGGUGAAUGGUGGUCCUCUUAUUUCGUGCUACUGGUCAAUGUUAACUUCUCCAACACCAUUUGUAAGAUGUACAUCCCGUGAUACUGUUGGUGGAAUGGUGGCCCUCUUAUUUCGUGCUAUUGGCCAAUGUUCUUCUGGAUGGUCUGCACAUUGUGUUCUCUUUUGGCCUGCAUGAUAGACCUUCAUGGCUAUGGCGCAUUACUAACCAUUGAUAUGGGCUCUCAAAAGUGGGAAUUUGCCUAGGAAGUACCCAUGCGGAUCUGUUCUUGAGAAGCCAGCAGCAAAAUGGUUGUCUGGGGAAGCUUUCCAUCUUUUAUGUAAUUCCAGACCUCGAUGAGUAGAUUAUCUGUGUAUUUUGCGACCAGCCUUGUGGUGUCCAAAAAGAUCUUCUACAGAAACCACCAAGAUAGAGCAAGAACCGAGUGCUUUUAGAUUUAUAGGCAAGUGGUAGUUCUGAACUUAAAAUUGUGCUCUCACUUCAUACCAAACAAAACAUUUCGAAUUUUUUAGCAACUUGAAGAUGUUCUCUUAGCGAUUCUAAAAUAUUCAUCAAAUCCAGCACAAAAAUUCCUUACUUUGACAAGCGUAGACUUAAGAAAGUGAAGUUCUCAAGUAUUGGUGGUAAAAUGAAGGAAUGUUAUGGACAUAUAGUGUGUUACUUUCUGAAAAUUGUUUGAGUGUUCAAGGAAAUUGACCUAACUGUUGUUUGGUUGAUCAGUUUGUCAUUUUCAUGCCAUCAUAUUUGUACAUACCUGAUUUCUUGAUUUGUGUGUUUCUAGGUGUUUGUAGAUAUCUUCUAUAUGCAAAAUUCUGCAUUCUCAUUUGGUUGUCAUACCACUCUUCAGAUUUCUCUUACUACACUAUGUCAGUUCGAAUUGUACUCUCGAAUUUCUUGCUAAUAGAAUUAAUAAGCUUUCAGAUUCGUCCAUCGAAGUAUUCUUUGGUUUUCUUUACAUUUUACUCUCUCUGUGUAGUUAGCUCUGCUUUGCCAUAUUAAUAGUCUUUGAAUCUACAAUUUAUUUGGUCAUUUGAGCUACGUACUUGAAUGACGUUCUGCUAAAAAAAAGGGAAAUGGAUCGAGAUUAACCUUUAGUAUCGAGAUGACUUUCUAUAUUGAGAUGUAUCGAGAAAGAGCUAAAAGAUACUUGCAAUAGAUGUGUACCAGGUACGUAUGGAAGAAACAUUGUAUACUAAGAAGUAGUUGACCAUCUGUAGAAAUAUACACUGCAAUCUGUUUCAUGUACGCACAGUGCUAUGUCCACUUCCAGUAUAUCUAUGUUGGAUAUCCAGUUGAUUACUAAAUGCUUUAUUUUUUUUCGAUUUUAGGUUGUAUUUCACACCGAUGUGAGCAGCUGACCACUAUUUAGUUCUCCUAUCCGUGUUUACAUACACUGAAGGUUUUUCCGAUGCCAACGGUUGUCAUGUGAGCUUCUCUGUGGUUUAUGUGAAGCUGGUACUAGAAGGCACAUAUAAUUUGUACCCUGAAGUGGGGCCUUCUAUAAUUUUUCAUUCCGUUAGCAUACAUGUUUCUCUAGAGUUGUUACAUACAGCCCUGUGUAUGCAUUGUGCACUUAGUUAAUUGAUGUUGUUUCUUGCCCCUUGACUUUGAGGAUA
This is a long non-coding RNA of Lolium perenne, 2558 nucleotides long. RefSeq lists it as uncharacterized. Lineage: Eukaryota; Viridiplantae; Streptophyta; Magnoliopsida; Poales; Poaceae. The record is from RefSeq and is a predicted model, not a curated record.